AGUGAACGCUGGCGGUAGGCCUAACACAUGCAAGUCGAACGGCAGCACAGUAAGAGCUUGCUCUUACGGGUGGCGGGUGGCGGACGGGUGAGGAAUACAUCGGAAUCUACUUUUUUGUGGGGGAUAACGUAGGGAAACUUACGCUAAUACCGCAUACGACCUACGGGUGAAAGCAGGGGAUCUUCGGACCUUGCGCGAUUGAAUGAGCCGAUGUCGGAUUAGCUAGUUGGCGGGGUAAAGGCCCACCAAGGCGACGAUCCGUAGCUGGUCUGAGAGGAUGAUCAGCCACACUGGAACUGAGACACGGUCCAGACUCCUACGGGAGGCAGCAGUGGGGAAUAUUGGACAAUGGGCGCAAGCCUGAUCCAGCCAUACCGCGUGGGUGAAGAAGGCCUUCGGGUUGUAAAGCCCUUUUGUUGGGAAAGAAAAGCAGCAGGUUAAUACCCCGCUGUUCUGACGGUACCCAAAGAAUAAGCACCGGCUAACUUCGUG
Molecule: ribosomal RNA, 492 nt
Filed under: uncultured bacterium
Lineage: Bacteria
Description: partial 16S ribosomal RNA
Rfam family: Bacterial small subunit ribosomal RNA
Source: RNAcentral